AAAUUGAAGAGUUUGAUCAUGGCUCAGAUUGAACGCUGGCGGCAGGCCUAACACAUGCAAGUCGAGCGGUAGCACAGAGAGCUUGCUCUCGGGUGACGAGCGGCGGACGGGUGAGUAAUGUCUGGGAAACUGCCUGAUGGAGGGGGAUAACUACUGGAAACGGUAGCUAAUACCGCAUAACGUCGCAAGACCAAAGUGGGGGACCUUCGGGCCUCAUGCCAUCAGAUGUGCCCAGAUGGGAUUAGCUAGUAGGUGGGGUAACGGCUCACCUAGGCGACGAUCCCUAGCUGGUCUGAGAGGAUGACCAGCCACACUGGAACUGAGACACGGUCCAGACUCCUACGGGAGGCAGCAGUGGGGAAUAUUGCACAAUGGGCGCAAGCCUGAUGCAGCCAUGCCGCGUGUGUGAAGAAGGCCUUCGGGUUGUAAAGCACUUUCAGCGGGGAGGAAGGCGGUGAGGUUAAUAACCUCACCGAUUGACGUUACCCGCAGAAGAAGCACCGGCUAACUCCGUGCCAGCAGCCGCGGUAAUACGGAGGGUGCAAGCGUUAAUCGGAAUUACUGGGCGUAAAGCGCACGCAGGCGGUCUGUCAAGUCGGAUGUGAAAUCCCCGGGCUCAACCUGGGAACUGCAUUCGAAACUGGCAGGCUAGAGUCUUGUAGAGGGGGGUAGAAUUCCAGGUGUAGCGGUGAAAUGCGUAGAGAUCUGGAGGAAUACCGGUGGCGAAGGCGGCCCCCUGGACAAAGACUGACGCUCAGGUGCGAAAGCGUGGGGAGCAAACAGGAUUAGAUACCCUGGUAGUCCACGCUGUAAACGAUGUCGAUUUGGAGGUUGUGCCCUUGAGGCGUGGCUUCCGGAGCUAACGCGUUAAAUCGACCGCCUGGGGAGUACGGCCGCAAGGUUAAAACUCAAAUGAAUUGACGGGGGCCCGCACAAGCGGUGGAGCAUGUGGUUUAAUUCGAUGCAACGCGAAGAACCUUACCUGGUCUUGACAUCCACAGAACUUAGCAGAGAUGCUUUGGUGCCUUCGGGAACUGUGAGACAGGUGCUGCAUGGCUGUCGUCAGCUCGUGUUGUGAAAUGUUGGGUUAAGUCCCGCAACGAGCGCAACCCUUAUCCUUUGUUGCCAGCGGUUAGGCCGGGAACUCAAAGGAGACUGCCAGUGAUAAACUGGAGGAAGGUGGGGAUGACGUCAAGUCAUCAUGGCCCUUACGACCAGGGCUACACACGUGCUACAAUGGCAUAUACAAAGAGAAGCGACCUCGCGAGAGCAAGCGGACCUCAUAAAGUAUGUCGUAGUCCGGAUUGGAGUCUGCAACUCGACUCCAUGAAGUCGGAAUCGCUAGUAAUCGUAGAUCAGAAUGCUACGGUGAAUACGUUCCCGGGCCUUGUACACACCGCCCGUCACACCAUGGGAGUGGGUUGCAAAAGAAGUAGGUAGCUUAACCUUCGGGAGGGCGCUUACCACUUUGUGAUUCAUGACUGGGGUGAAGUCGUAACAAGGUAACCGUAGGGGAACCUGCGGUUGGAUCACCUCCUUA
RNAcentral lists this ribosomal RNA (1540 nucleotides) under Klebsiella pneumoniae. RNAcentral's name for it is "bacterial SSU rRNA". It matches the Rfam family "Bacterial small subunit ribosomal RNA". RNAcentral also lists the same sequence under 4 other names. The record is from RNAcentral. Lineage: Bacteria; Pseudomonadati; Pseudomonadota; Gammaproteobacteria; Enterobacterales; Enterobacteriaceae.